Molecule: transfer RNA, 83 nt
Filed under: Paenibacillus silvae
Lineage: Bacteria; Bacillati; Bacillota; Bacilli; Caryophanales; Paenibacillaceae
Description: tRNA-Ala
Source: RNAcentral
GAGCGCUUGAAAUACGGGGUAUCGGCAUUCGCGAUGUUGUCAGCAAUCGUUCGUUGUCUGAUGUUCGACGCAUCGAGUGCACC